This 253-nucleotide ribosomal RNA is filed under the name uncultured bacterium. RNAcentral describes it as "partial 16S ribosomal RNA". It matches the Rfam family "Bacterial small subunit ribosomal RNA", at positions 524 to 776 of the family's 1533-position model. The record is from RNAcentral.
UACGUAGGGUGCGAGCGUUGUCCGGAUUUAUUGGGCGUAAAGAGCGUGUAGGCGGCCAGGUAGGUCUGCUGUGAAAACUCGAGGCUCAACCUCGAGACGUCGGCGGAAACCAUCUGGCUAGAGUCCGGAAGAGGAGAGUGGAAUUCCUGGUGUAGCGGUGAAAUGCGCAGAUAUCAGGAAGAACACCCGUGGCGAAGGCGGCUCUCUGGAACGGUACUGACGCUGAGACGCGAAAGCGUGGGGAGCGAACAGG